This 135-nucleotide long non-coding RNA is filed under the name Ictidomys tridecemlineatus (thirteen-lined ground squirrel). RNAcentral describes it as "lncRNA (ENSSTOG00000032975.1)". Lineage: Eukaryota; Metazoa; Chordata; Mammalia; Rodentia; Sciuridae. The record is from RNAcentral.
GCGAGUUGCCAUAGCAACUCGCCCUCUUGCCGACACGUGCAGGCUCUCGGGUGCCGCUUUCUGUUCAGAGUUGGAGCUGGAGAGUGUCUACAAGGCACAUAGUCAGACUUGCCGAACCACAGGAAUCAGCAGGUU